RNAcentral lists this ribosomal RNA (453 nucleotides) under uncultured bacterium. RNAcentral's name for it is "bacterial SSU rRNA". It matches the Rfam family "Bacterial small subunit ribosomal RNA", at positions 340 to 786 of the family's 1533-position model. The record is from RNAcentral.
UACGGGAGGCAGCAGUGGGGAAUAUUGCACAAUGGGCGCAAGCCUGAUGCAGCCAUGCCGCGUGUAUGAAGAAGGCCUUCGGGUUGUAAAGUACUUUCAGUCGUGAGGAAGGUGUUAAGGUUAAUAACCUUAGCAAUUGACGUUAGCGACAGAAGAAGCACCGGCUAACUCCAUGCCAGCAGCCGCGGUAAUACGGAGGGUGCGAGCGUUAAUCGGAAUUACUGGGCGUAAAGGGCACGCAGGCGGUUAAUUAAGUUGGAUGUGAAAUCCCCGGGCUUAACCUGGGAAUGGCAUUCAAGACUGGUUAGCUAGAGUCUUGUAGAGGGGGUAGAAUUCCAUGUGUAGCGGUGAAAUGCGUAGAGAUGUGGAGGAAUACCGGUGGCGAAGGCGGCCCCUGGACAAAGACUGACGCUCAUGUGCGAAAGCGUGGGGAGCAAACAGGGAUUAGAUACC